GAUGAAGAACGUAGUGAAAUGCGAUAAGUAAUGUGAAUUGCAGAAUUCAGUGAAUCAUCGAAUCUUUGAACGCACAUUGCGCCCGCCAGUAUUCUGGCGGGCAUGCCUGUUCGAGCGUCAUUUCAACCAUCAAGCCCCCGGCUUGUGUUGGGGACCUGCGGCUGCCGCAGGCCCUGAAAAGCAGUAGCGGGCUCGCUGUCACACCGAGCGUAGUAGCAUACAUCUCGCUCUGGGCGUGCUGCGGGUUCCGGCCGUUAAACCACCUUCAUAACCCAAGGUUGACCUCGGAUCAGGUAGGAAGACCCGCUGAACUUAAGCAUAUCAAUAAGCGGAGGA
RNAcentral lists this unclassified non-coding RNA (336 nucleotides) under soil metagenome. RNAcentral's name for it is "partial contains 5.8S ribosomal RNA, internal transcribed spacer 2, and large subunit ribosomal RNA". The stretch from base 1 to 120 matches the Rfam family "5.8S ribosomal RNA", at positions 35 to 154 of the family's 154-position model. The record is from RNAcentral.